UCAUCUUGGCCGUCAAGACACGGAACUGCCCGGUCACCACGUGGCUCCCUCCUGCUGCCCUCUCGUGGCCACAGCCCCCUCCCUCCCCCCACCCACCUGGCCAGUGGGAUCCAGACUGUGCCUCCUCCCCAAUCCUCCAGUGUGGCUCCCCACCCUCCUGGGCUCAGCCGGAAGGCUCUUGGUGACGGGGACGGAUGUGACUCCUGAGUCACUGCUGACCACUGGCUCCGGCUCUCUCUGGCCCUCCUUUGACCCUCCUCCUGGCCUGUGGACCCCUCUCUGGAUGGCUGCAGGCCACCACCCCUUUCUCUGGUUCUCCCUUCACGCCUUGAUCCCCUGACAAAGGAGCCACUACUGCUCCCGCACCCACCUUGUGUCACCUCUGGGCACGCAGCCCGCAGGAUGGGAUGUGUUUCCCAGGAGUCUCUCUCUGUCCCCCUCUGUCUCUGUCUCCCUCUACCCCUGCAUCUCUCUCUCCCCCUCACUCCUGCAUCCCCAGCACAAAGUGGACGCCUGGUGUGAGUCAGCUCCCUGCUCUUCCCUCUGCCUCUCCUGAGCCUGCCUGGCUCUGCAUGGGGACACUGGAUGUGGGACAUGUGGACAAAGGACACGAGACACAGGGACUCGGGGACUUGUGUUUCCUCUCACCUCCUGUCCCCCUGCCCGUACCUGUGCCCUGCCAGCCCCUGGAGCUUCUUCCUCCUCCACUUUGUACCUCUGCAAGUUGGGCCCCGGGAAGUGGUCAGGGCCCUGGGAUGAGGUGGGAGCCCCUGGGGCUCCUGGGGGUACCUCCUGAAAGCAGCUGGGUGUGUUAGGGGGUCAAGGCUGUGAGUUGUCAGUCAAGGUGAUGUUUGGGGCUCCUGUGGCCUGGGCCACCAGCAGGGACAGAACAGCAGGUGACCAUUGGUUUACCCAGUGAUUUAGUCUCCAUGGAGCCUUGGCCCCUCAUUGGACUGUCACCACGGGCCUGGCAUUGCUGUUAUUGUCAUUUUACAGUUGAGGAGUUUGUGCCUGAGAGAGACAGAGUGAAGGAGGCAGAGAGAGGGAGAGGCCGGCGUGGGGGGACCGAAGGAGGAGGAGGUCCCUCGGCCUCAGAAUCCUUGCUGCCAGUAGGGGGCUGGCACAAUGUGCACAGUGAGCUGCAUCCCUAGAGGGUAGGCAAGCUUGGCCCUUAUGGAAGGGCUCUCUGGAGGGCUGCCUGAGGGUGGUGUGGAUGUGGAAGUGAUUGGCUGGGAACGUUAGGCCCUCCAGCCCAGGGAGACCGCUUGUGGGUAAGACGUGGGUAGGAGCAGGAAUGAGACUGGGGUCCCCGAGUCAGCACCCCGACCUGUGUGCCUUUGCUCAAGGGGUGCCCACCCCCACGCUGCCUUCCUCUGCCCUCCCUGUGCCUCCCUUUCUCCUGAGUGCUUGCUCCACCAAGGCACUGAGGCAUCCGCGCCAGGUCACUCGGCCACUUGGGGAAUCGGUGCCGUGGCUGGCCCCCGGGGGGCCGCAGUGGGUGAAGGCCCAUCCAUAAUGAGUGUAGGCUGGACCUUGACCUGCAGAGCAACUGGGCGAGGGGCCGUGGGAAUGAAGACUCUGCUGGAGAAGGCUGGGCCGGGACGGCAGGAGGAACUGUGGAGCGGCUGCAGCAGAGGUCCCAGGCUGGAUCUUCACAGCCCUCCUGGCCAAGGGCACGGAGCCUCAGUGUCAGGGUCCCUGCAGGCUGACAUCAUGCUGUUUGUAACGAAGCUGGACCGAUCAGAGGGGACACGAGCCAGGUCUCCUUGCCCGGUGUGGGCCCGGCCUUCUCAGCAGGCCUGUCUCUUGUCUUCAUUAGGCCCAUUGUCUCAGAGCUACGUGGGGACUGGUGGCACUUCCCUGAUUAUCACAGCAGGAUUCUGGUUUCCAGAACAGGGGAGCUGGGCCGACACCACCCGUGCAAGCUGGCAAGUUAAUAAGAUUUGCUUCUUUCUCGGAGUACCUGGUGUCAGUUUUGCUUUCAUGUAAAUAGGACAGUUGCUAUUGUCACCCUUGUACCACCUAUCUGUUGCCCCAGUAACAGCAGUCCACC
Molecule: long non-coding RNA, 2053 nt
Organism: Equus caballus (horse)
Lineage: Eukaryota; Metazoa; Chordata; Mammalia; Perissodactyla; Equidae
Source: Ensembl